RNAcentral lists this ribosomal RNA (490 nucleotides) under uncultured bacterium. RNAcentral describes it as "partial 16S ribosomal RNA". It matches the Rfam family "Bacterial small subunit ribosomal RNA", at positions 30 to 507 of the family's 1533-position model. The record is from RNAcentral.
AUUGAACGCUGGCGGCAGGCCUAACACAUGCAAGUCGAACGGUAACAGGAAGCAGCUUGCUGCUUUGCUGACGAGUGGCGGACGGGUGAGUAAUGUCUGGGAAACUGCCUGAUGGAGGGGGUUAACUACUGGAAACGGUAGCUAAUACCGCAUAACGUCGCAAGACCAAAGAGGGGGACCUUAGGGCCUCUUGCCAUCGGAUGUGCCCAGAUGGGAUUAGCUAGUAGGUGGGGUAACGGCUCACCUAGGCGACGAUCCCUAGCUGGUCUGAGAGGAUGACCAGCCACACUGGAACUGAGACACGGUCCAGACUCCUACGGGAGGCAGCAGUGGGGAAUAUUGCACAAUGGGCGCAAGCCUGAUGCAGCCAUGCCGCGUGUAUGAAGAAGGCCUUCGGGUUGUAAAGUACUUUCAGCGGGGAGGAAGGGAGUAAAGUUAAUACCUUUGCUCAUUGACGUUACCCGCAGAAGAAGCACCGGCUAACUCCGUG